Molecule: long non-coding RNA, 1707 nt
Organism: Aethalodelphis obliquidens (Pacific white-sided dolphin)
Lineage: Eukaryota; Metazoa; Chordata; Mammalia; Artiodactyla; Delphinidae
Exons: 3
Source: RefSeq, a predicted model, not a curated record
ACAGUUUAGUUCUUCUAGAUUUAAAGUAAUUACUAGGGAGUGCUGCUGGCAUCUAGUAGACGAAGGCCAGGGAUGCUGCUAAAUAUCUGACUCUAAGCAGACAGGGUAGGGAGUCUCCAGAGGAAAAGAACCAGAUAUAGCUUUCUGACGUAAGAGAGGCCAUUUUAGGCCUAAGCCAUUUGUGAUCUAAGCCUGCCCACAAUGGUUGUCCUUGAAUAGGUCUCAGUAAUAAUGACCUGAAGGGUCAAGGGCAAGAGAAGGAACAAUAGCAAAGAUAAUAAAUCAGAUAAUAAAGACUCCCAGGUUUUUUUCCCCCCAAUGGUAAAGAUUACAUUUUUGAGCUGUUUUGCAGAAUUUAAACCCCCUCAGGUGCUCAACCACUAGAUCAAUUGGAACCAAAGGGAUGACGAUGUUGACCUUUUCUGACCCUCCUGACUCCAAUCAACUAAAGCGUGGACUCUGUUGACCUUUGCCCUAAUUCUAUGCUCAAUUCUUCUCAGCUCAAGCUCCUUCAUGAACAUGCAGGAUCUAGAUCUAUUCCAAAUUUGUGGAAUUAAUUAGAUAAUUAAGAGGAACCUCAGAACUACAAGGAAUGAUCAAAGAAGUCAUCUGACACAUCCUACAAAGAAAAGGAGGAUUCCCAAAGAUAUGAAAGAAGAAAAGGCGUGAAGUGGAUGGGCUGCUGCACUGCGGGGAUCCCCACUUCAGGCCUUAAUUCACCCGCUUGCUGGGAGUGAAAUGGGCUGACAGACCUCAGAUCAGUGUCUCUCCGGAGAUCACCUCAUCUGAAGAGAGCUGCCCUACCGAAGACCAUACGCCCUUCCCUCCAAGGACUGGUUACAACAGGGGAAUGAAAGCCCCAACAUUGGACGACCUAGAAGAGCCAUCUCAGCUUCAGAGCAUCCUGGAGGGUUGAUUGGGGACUUCUUAAAACAGCAUCCUUCCCUUCUUGUAAGUAUUGGUUCCGACACCAUUCCUUAACAAACCUCUCAAAUGCUCAUCUCCACCCAGAGUCUGCGUCCCAGGAACUAAACCCAACCCAACCCAAAAUGUGUCAAGAAUCCCAUAAUUUCAAAGCAUGGUCAGCCAAGUGAUUAUAAACUGUGUGAAUGAAUGAAUGAACUAGCUACAAGGAAGCCCCUCUGUGGCCAGUAGAUAGAAAUGCCCUCCAUCCUUUACCUGGGUCAGUCUUAGAUGAUCUGAGGGCUUGAGGAACAUAUUCCUUGCAUAAAACGUAUUCACAGCGCUAAGUGCCUCACAUGAGCAAUCUCGUUUUAUUCUUCUCACAACCCUAUGAGGCAGAUACUAUUUUGUUCCCAUUUUGAAUGUGAAGAAACUGAGGAUUAGAGUGGUUAAUAUCAUGUCAAAGGUAAGUAAGUGGGAUGCAGAGCUGUAAUAUGAAUCCAUGUCUUUCUGACCCUAGAACCUGUGUUCUAAAGCUGCCUUGCUAUAGUGUCUCACUGGCUAGUAUAUCUUGGUUUCCUCCACAGUUCCUUAUGCAUAGAAAUAAAUUAAUGCUUUUUCCUUGAUUUGUUGAUUUGGCAGUACUUAAAACAGGCCUUUCCAUGAGGGUGGUCAAGCAUUUAAAAAUGACCUUAAGCUGACUUGAACUGUGCACAUAAACUCUACUGUGUUGCUCUGCCUUAUAGGGAUUUAACUGGCUACUUAAUAAGGUGGGGAACCCCAAUUCCUUAUUUGUAUCUGAGG